RNAcentral lists this ribosomal RNA (487 nucleotides) under uncultured bacterium. RNAcentral's name for it is "bacterial SSU rRNA". It matches the Rfam family "Bacterial small subunit ribosomal RNA", at positions 29 to 517 of the family's 1533-position model. The record is from RNAcentral.
AACGAACGCUGGCGGCAUGCCUAACACAUGCAAGUCGAGGGGUAUAGUUCUUCGGAACUAGAGACCGGCGCACGGGUGCGUAACGCGUAUGCAAUCUACCUUUUACAGAGGGAUAGCCCAGAGAAAUUUGGAUUAAUACCUCAUAGUAUGUGAGAAUCGCAUGGUUUUCACAUUAAAGUUCCAACGGUAAAAGAUGAGCAUGCGUCCCAUUAGCUAGAUGGUGAGGUAACGGCUCACCAUGGCGACGAUGGGUAGGGGGCCUGAGAGGGUGGUCCCCCACACUGGUACUGAGACACGGACCAGACUCCUACGGGAGGCAGCAGUGAGGAAUAUUGGUCAAUGGGCGCAAGCCUGAACCAGCCAUGCCGCGUGCAGGAAGACGGUCCUAUGGAUUGUAAACUGCUUUUAUUGGGAAUAAACCUAUCUACGUGUAGAUAGCUGAAGGUACCAAAUGAAUAAGCACCGGCUAACUCCGUGCCAGCAGCCG